GGGCGCCUAGCUCAGUUGGUAGAGCAGCUGACUCUUAAUCAGCGGGUCAGAGGUUCGAAUCCUCUGGUGCCCACCA
RNAcentral lists this transfer RNA (76 nucleotides) under Alphaproteobacteria bacterium. Its description in RNAcentral is "tRNA-Lys". It matches the Rfam family "tRNA". Rfam says of the family: Transfer RNA (tRNA) molecules are approximately 80 nucleotides in length. Their secondary structure includes four short double-helical elements and three loops (D, anti-codon, and T loops). Further hydrogen bonds mediate the characteristic L-shaped molecular structure. tRNAs have two regions of fundamental functional importance: the anti-codon, which is responsible for specific mRNA codon recognition, and the 3' end, to which the tRNAs corresponding amino acid is attached (by aminoacyl-tRNA synthetases). tRNAs cope with the degeneracy of the genetic code in two manners: having more than one tRNA (with a specific anti-codon) for a particular amino acid; and 'wobble' base-pairing, i.e. permitting non-standard base-pairing at the 3rd anti-codon position. Lineage: Bacteria; Pseudomonadati; Pseudomonadota; Alphaproteobacteria. The record is from RNAcentral.